UCAAAAAAAUGAAACACAGCUGUUGUUGGAUCAAAGAAUUUAAAUGUGUUUGAAUUAUAUAAUAUACUUAAGUUUGUGCAUUUAAAUUAAAAUCUUAGUUUGGACAAAAUUAGAAAAAGUAAUUUUCAAAUUUACACAGUUUACUUACAUUAAAUGAAUGAAAUAAAGUUGUGUUGGUUCUGCAGUACCGCACUUUGAUCAGCAGGUGGCGCUGCACAAGCGCAUGCGCAGAUAGAACCCACAUGGUUCACUCUUCUGAUUACGGUCGGCCAUUUUCUGCAUUAACGUCUUAUAAACAAAAUUACUUUACAAGCGGAGAAAACGGAGAAAGUUCUGUCUUUAUGUGGAGACACAGAGUUUGGAAGUUAUGCCUCAGGAGUCCCACAAGUGGCUGUGCAGAGAUUGUGGCUCAUUUCACACAUCCAGAUCAACGCUUUUAAAACACUUCAGGUUUCUGCAGAAUUCAGUAGGAUUACAACAAUCCCUUUGGUGUCCAAAUUCAUGGGUCAGCUCGAUCAUUUCUCAACUCAGCUUAUCAGUGUUUUCAGAAAGAAAGGAGGAGCAGCAGGACAGAAGAUCAACAACAUCAUGUCAGUUUUGGAUCAGGGUGUUUCCAUCGAAAAAAGACGUGAAUGCAUCCUAAAAUCACUUGUUGUUUAUGUGAACGAAGACCCCUCAAACCUUGUGAAGGAG
This is a long non-coding RNA of Paramisgurnus dabryanus, 693 nucleotides long. RefSeq lists it as uncharacterized. Lineage: Eukaryota; Metazoa; Chordata; Actinopteri; Cypriniformes; Cobitidae. The record is from RefSeq and is a predicted model, not a curated record.